AGAGUUUGAUUCUGGCUCAGAACGAACGCUGGCGGCGUGUUUAAGACAUGCAAGUCGCACGGGAAUAUUUCGGUAUUUAUAUUGGGAUAUUCUAGUGGCGCACGGGUGAGUAACACGUGAAUUACAUACCCUUCAGUGGGGGAUAGCCCAGGGAAACUUGGAUUAAUACCCCAUGGUAUCGCAAGAUUAAAGGUGGCCGCAAGGCUGUCGCUGAAGGAUUGGUUCGCGCCCUAUCAGCUUGUUGGUGAGGUAACGGCUCACCAAGGCUACGACGGGUACCUGGUUUGAGAGGACGAUCAGGCACACUGGAACUGAGACACGGUCCAGACACCUACGGGUGGCAGCAGUCGAGAAUAAUUCACAAUGGACGAAAGUCUGAUGGUGCAACGCCGCGUGGAGGAUGAAGGCCCUAGGGUCGUAAACUCCUGUCAUUUGAGAGUAAGACCUGGCGGUUAAUAGCCGACAGGGUUGAUAGUAUCAAAAGAGGAAGGGACGGCUAACUUCGUGCCAGCAGCCGCGGUAAUACGAAGGUCCCGAGCGUUGUUCGGAAUCACUGGGCGUAAAGGGAGCGUAGGCGGCGUGGUAAGUCAGAUGUGAAAUCCCGGGGCUCAACCCCGGAACUGCAUCCGAUACUGCCGUGCUAGAGGAUUGGAGAGGUAGCUGGAAUUCUUGGUGUAGCAGUGAAAUGCGUAGAUAUCAAGAGGAACACUCGUGGCGAAAGCGAGCUACUGGACAACUCCUGACGCUGAGGCUCGAAGGCCAGGGUAGCGAAAGGGAUUAGAUACCCCUGUAGUCCUGGCAGUAAACGGUGCACGCUUGGUGUGAGGGGAUUCGACCCCCCUCGUGCCGGAGCUAACGCGUUAAGCGUGCCGCCUGGGAAGUACGGUCGCAAGACUAAAACUCAAAGAAAUUGACGGGGACCCGCACAAGCGGUGGAGUAUGUGGCUUAAUUCGAUGCAACGCGAAGA
RNAcentral lists this ribosomal RNA (968 nucleotides) under marine sediment metagenome. RNAcentral describes it as "bacterial SSU rRNA". It matches the Rfam family "Bacterial small subunit ribosomal RNA", at positions 8 to 967 of the family's 1533-position model. The record is from RNAcentral.